GAGGGUACAGCUCAGUGGUAGAGUGCAUGCCUAGCAUGCAUGAAGUCCUGGGUUCAAUCCCCAGUACCUCCA
This 72-nucleotide transfer RNA is filed under the name Camelus bactrianus (Bactrian camel). It matches the Rfam family "tRNA". Rfam says of the family: Transfer RNA (tRNA) molecules are approximately 80 nucleotides in length. The record is from Rfam by way of RNAcentral. Lineage: Eukaryota; Metazoa; Chordata; Mammalia; Artiodactyla; Camelidae. RNAcentral also lists the same sequence under 2 other names.